Molecule: ribosomal RNA, 253 nt
Filed under: uncultured prokaryote
Description: partial 16S ribosomal RNA
Rfam family: Bacterial small subunit ribosomal RNA
Source: RNAcentral
UACGGAGGGUGCGAGCGUUGUUCGGAUUUAUUGGGCGUAAAGCGCGUGUAGGCGGCUUCUUAAGUCUGAUGUGAAAGCCCUGGGCUCAACCCGGGAAGUGCAUUGGAAACUGGGGAACUUGAAUACGGGAGAGGGUAGUGGAAUUCCUGGUGUAGGAGUGAAAUCCGUAGAUAUCAGGAGGAACACCGGUGGCGAAGGCGGCUGCCUGGACCGAUAUUGACGCUGAGACGCGAAAGCGUGGGGAGCAAACAGG